GACGAACGCUGGCGGCGUGCUUAAUACAUGCAAGUAGAACGCUGAAGGAGGAGCUUGCUUCUCGGAUGAGUUGCGAACGGGUGAGUAACGCGUAGGUAACCUGCCUGGUAGCGGGGGAUAACUAUUGGAAACGAUAGCUAAUACCGCAUAAGAGUAGAUGUUGCAUGACAUUUGCUUAAAAGGUGCAAUUGCAUCACUACCAGAUGGACCUGCGUUGUAUUAGCUAGUUGGUGGGGUAACGGCUCACCAAGGCGACGAUACAUAGCCGACCUGAGAGGGUGAUCGGCCACACUGGGACUGAGACACGGCCCAGACUCCUACGGGAGGCAGCAGUAGGGAAUCUUCGGCAAUGGACGGAAGUCUGACCGAGCAACGCCGCGUGAGUGAAGAAGGUUUUCGGAUCGUAAAGCUCUGUUGUAAGAGAAGAACGAGUGUGAGAGUGGAAAGUUCACACUGUGACGGUAUCUUACCAGAAAGGGACGGCUAACUACGUGCCAGCAGCCGCGGUAAUACGUAGGUGGCAAGCGUUAUCCGGAUUUAUUGGGCGUAAAGAGAGUGCAGGCGGUUUUCUAAGUCUGAUGUGAAAGCCUUCGGCUUAACCGGAGAAGUGCAUCGGAAACUGGAUAACUUGAGUGCAGAAGAGGGUAGUGGAACUCCAUGUGUAGCGGUGGAAUGCGUAGAUAUAUGGAAGAACACCAGUGGCGAAGGCGGCUACCUGGUCUGCAACUGACGCUGAGACUCGAAAGCAUGGGUAGCGAACAGG
This 763-nucleotide ribosomal RNA is filed under the name uncultured Streptococcus sp. RNAcentral's name for it is "bacterial SSU rRNA". It matches the Rfam family "Bacterial small subunit ribosomal RNA", at positions 28 to 776 of the family's 1533-position model. Lineage: Bacteria; Bacillati; Bacillota; Bacilli; Lactobacillales; Streptococcaceae. The record is from RNAcentral.